This 279-nucleotide ribosomal RNA is filed under the name uncultured bacterium. Its description in RNAcentral is "partial 16S ribosomal RNA". It matches the Rfam family "Bacterial small subunit ribosomal RNA", at positions 30 to 307 of the family's 1533-position model. The record is from RNAcentral.
AUUGAACGCUGGCGGCAUGCCUUACACAUGCAAGUCGAACGGCAGCACGGGAGCAAUCCUGGUGGCGAGUGGCGAACGGGUGAGUAAUAUAUCGGAACGUGCCCAGUCGUGGGGGAUAACGUAGCGAAAGCUACGCUAAUACCGCAUACGAUCUAUGGGAUGAAAGCGGGGGGAUCGCAAGACCUCGCGCGAUUGGAGCGGGCCGAUAUCAGAUUAAGUAGUUGGUGAGGUAAAGGCUCACCAAGCCGACGAUCUGUAGCUGGUCUGAGAGGACGACAG